GGUACCGUCAAACGUGAGGCUUAUUCAUCCCCACGACUUUCGUCCCCCUUGACAGGAGCUUACGACCCGAAGGCCUUCGUCCUCCACGCGGCGUCGCUGCGUCAGGGUUUCCCCCAUUGCGCAAUAUUCCUCA
Molecule: ribosomal RNA, 133 nt
Filed under: uncultured bacterium
Lineage: Bacteria
Description: partial 16S ribosomal RNA
Source: RNAcentral